This 458-nucleotide ribosomal RNA is filed under the name uncultured bacterium. Its description in RNAcentral is "partial 16S ribosomal RNA". It matches the Rfam family "Bacterial small subunit ribosomal RNA", at positions 338 to 795 of the family's 1533-position model. The record is from RNAcentral.
CCUACGGGCGGCAGCAGUGAGGAAUAUUGGUCAAUGGGCGAGAGCCUGAACCAGCCAAGUCGCGUGAGGGAGUACUGCCCUAUGGGUUGUAAACCUCUUUUGUCGGGGAGCAAAAGCCGGACGUGUCCGGCUGUGAGAGUACCCGAAGAAAAAGCAUCGGCUAACUCCGUGCCAGCAGCCGCGGUAAUACGGAGGAUGCGAGCGUUAUCCGGAUUUAUUGGGUUUAAAGGGUGCGCAGGCGGAGUUUUAAGUCAGCGGUAAAAUCGUGGGGCUCAACCCCAUCCAGCCGUUGAAACUGGGGAUCUAGAGUGUGCGAGAGGUAUGCGGAAUGCGUGGUGUAGCGGUGAAAUGCAUAGAUAUCACGCAGAACCCCGAUUGCGAAGGCAGCAUACCGGUGCACAACUGACGCUCAGGCACGAAAGCGUGGGUAUCGAACAGGAUUAGAUACCCGAGUAGUC